GAUGAAGAACGCAGUGAAAUGCGAUAAGUAAUGUGAAUUGCAGAAUUCAGUGAAUCAUCGAAUCUUUGAACGCACAUUGCGCCCCCUGGUAUUCCGGGGGGCAUGCCUGUUCGAGCGUCAUUACAACCCUCAAGCUCUGCUUGGUGUUGGGCCCCGCCGCCCCGGCGGGCCCUAAAAUCAGUGGCGGUGCCGUCCGGCUCCGAGCGUAGUAAUUCUUCUCGCUCUGGAGGGCCGGGUGUGUGCUCGCCAGCAACCCCCAAUUUUUUUCAGGUUGACCUCGGAUCAGGUAGGGAUACCCGCUGAACUUAAGCAUAUCAAUAAGCGGAGGA
This 329-nucleotide unclassified non-coding RNA is filed under the name soil metagenome. Its description in RNAcentral is "partial contains 5.8S ribosomal RNA, internal transcribed spacer 2, and large subunit ribosomal RNA". The stretch from base 1 to 120 matches the Rfam family "5.8S ribosomal RNA", at positions 35 to 154 of the family's 154-position model. The record is from RNAcentral.